RNAcentral lists this ribosomal RNA (236 nucleotides) under uncultured Flavobacteriaceae bacterium. RNAcentral describes it as "partial 16S ribosomal RNA". It matches the Rfam family "Bacterial small subunit ribosomal RNA", at positions 1 to 244 of the family's 1533-position model. The record is from RNAcentral. Lineage: Bacteria; Pseudomonadati; Bacteroidota; Flavobacteriia; Flavobacteriales; Flavobacteriaceae.
CUCGGAGUUUGAUCCUGGCUCAGGAUGAACGCUAGCGGCAGGCUUAACACAUGCAAGUCGAGGGGUAUAGUUCUUCGGAGCUAGAGACCGGCGCACGGGUGCGUAACGCGUAUGCAAUCUACCUUUUACAGGGGAAUAGCCCAGAGAAAUUUGGAUUAAUGCCCCAUAGUAUAUAUCAUUCGCAUGUUUGAUAUAUUAAAGUUCCAACGGUAAAAGAUGAGCAUGCGUCCCAUUAG